Molecule: long non-coding RNA, 377 nt
Organism: Cyprinodon tularosa
Lineage: Eukaryota; Metazoa; Chordata; Actinopteri; Cyprinodontiformes; Cyprinodontidae
Exons: 2
Source: RefSeq, a predicted model, not a curated record
UCCUGCAGGUCUGGUCUGUCCUGCAGGUCCAGCAGGACGGACUGGACCUCCAGGUCCGGUCUCUCCUGCAGGUCCAGCAGGUCGGUCUGUCCUGCAGGUCCGGUCUGUCCAGUAGACCCUGUCUCCCUGAUCCCCUCCUGAUUCGUCUCUCCUGCUCAUCAUGAACGGUGGUUGGACCCAGACUGGGUCCAGGCGGUCUGCUGCAUUUGAACCGCCUCCCUGCCGUUUCUGGAGCAGGUGGUGGUGGGACUCCUCUGAGGACCAGAACUCCUCCUACUAAUGAACUUGACCAAUAAGCAGAUGAUGGAAUGUAAAGAGGCCUUAACUCAGCUGUUGAUCUCUUUUUGCACUGAAAUAAAUCCAACCGUUAGAACCCG